This 4523-nucleotide long non-coding RNA is filed under the name Olea europaea subsp. europaea. The record is from RNAcentral. Lineage: Eukaryota; Viridiplantae; Streptophyta; Magnoliopsida; Lamiales; Oleaceae.
CCGAGAAAUUCGGCACUCCAGUUAAAUCUUACUUUAGCCCACUGAAUUGCCUUGGUCAGUGAACGAACUUCAAAGCAUUUUCGCAGGCAGUUAACACACGCUAUUGUGAUAUGGCGACAACUAAGAAUAUGCUAGAGAGGGCGCUGUCGACCCGGCGGCCGGCGCAGUUCACCGAUGAUGGUGGCACCGCCGCCGAUGAUGAAGCUAACGAGGAAACGGGGGACGAGUCCAAGACGCGAAAACACAUAUCUAUACCAGUGCGUGUCACGAAUUAUUUGACUCGAACCGGGUAUCUCUGUCCCAUACUGAUUUUUGGGCUUGUUAUCAUCAUUAUCUCGUCUCUUGUAUUUCGCUCCCGAGAUCUGGUCUGCAUCUCAGCAUCCUCUUCCGAUCAUAUCUCGCGGUUGCGAUUCUUCGGGUUUGAUGGUCUUGAAUCGGACUUCGGAUCUCUCGGCGUUCCUUGGUGUAAGUCCCUCGCAAAUUUUUCCUUUGUUGUUGUUUUUUUUUUUUUAUUGGUUUUUGCUGGCUUCGAGCUCAUUCAGAUCUCGGUUUACAUAUUAAUGGUAAAAUUAAAUUCUAGUUAUCUAGUUUGAAAUGGAUAAUUUCUUGCUUUAUGAUGAGUAAAUUUUGCUUUCCAUUUCCUUUUUUUUAAUCGCCAGAGGUAAUAAGAAUGAAUCCGAAUGGUACUGUUAGAAUAUUAUAAUUAUUAUUUACUAGUGUUAUUGUUGCUGCUGCUGCUUUUUUUCCCCUAAAAGAUUGGUGGAUCAGCAUCUUAGCUAUAAUAUGUUGUCUGUUAAUAUAUUCUAGUCUGCAUGCCAAUUUCCUGAAGUUAUAUUCCUCAGUAACCGUUGUAAUAAAAUAGGAAAAAAGAAAUCAUUUCACUCUAGGGAUUACUUAAAAAUGGAUUUGUUUUAUAUUCGGAUUCAUUUGAAAGCAGUUAAUUGGAGUAGAUUUACUCCCCUUUAUGUAAUUGUUGCUUUAUCAAGUGGUAACUUUUAAUUAACUUAAUAGUUGCAGUAUUACUGAUGGUUUUUGUGUUUAUGGUUCGUCAAGGUAUGGAUGUGAAUUAGCUGCCAAUACACACUCUUUUCCAAUGCUAUAAUUAUUUCUAAUUUAUGUAUAAUGGUAUCUAAAUUGUGCCUCUUUUAGAAAUUUGAAUUUUUGUGAGUUUAUGCCAAUUUAAUUGUUAUCCUUGUCAAAAGGCAGAUCGAAACAUGGAAAAACUGUGGAAUGGACAUCCAAGGAUUUGCUUAAAGGUCUUGAGGAGUUUGUGCCAAUAUACGAGACACGGCCAAUUAAGAACAACAUGUAUGGGAUGGGUUUCGACCACAGCUUUGGGCUUUGGUUUAUUACUCGAUGGCUAAAGCCAGACUUGAUGAUCGAAAGUGGUGCUUUCAAGGGGCAUUCUACAUGGGUUUUAAGGCAAGCAAUGCCGGAUACACCAAUUGUGUCACUUUCNCCUCGCCAUCCUGAGAAAUACCUCAAAAAGGGGCCUGCUUAUGUUGACGGAAACUGUACAUACUUUGCUGGAAAGGAUUUUGUGGAUUUUGGAAGCAUGAAUUGGGGUAGAGUGAUGAAGAAACAUAAGAUUAAUGAUCUCAGCCAGGUUCUUGUCUUCUUUGAUGACCAUCAGAACGAACUCAAACGGUAAUUACAGUUUCAGUUCUCAAAAUGUUAAUCCUCCUUCAUUGACUAGUUAGAGCAGUGUUACAAUGCAAUUCGUUAUGCGUCUAGUAAUGCAAUUCAGUUAUUAUGUACAUAGUUUUCAUGACUCUUUCAGCUUGAUUCACUUAUCUAAAUUUCCAAAGGUUCUUUGUCUUGAUUCACACUUUUAUGUGUAGAUUAAAGCAAGCACUUAAAGCUGGGUUCAAGCAUCUCAUAUUUGAGGAUAACUAUGAUACUGGAACUGGGGACCAUUAUUCUUUCCGGCAAAUAUGCGAUCAAUUUUACGUAAGAGGUGUGUGUUUUCUUUCAUUUCAAAACUCGUUGUAGUGGACCAUAGAUGUGCCCUGUUUUUAAUUCAUUAUUAUUUUAAAACCAUGGUUAUAUGGAGACGGAGAAAAUUGGUCCGGUUGAUUUUGACUUGAGGGAGAUUCUGUUUGGGCCAUGGAAGGCACAUCAAAAUCGAGGGACCUACUACCAGCUUUGGGUCUCACAAAGCAAUGUGCCUUCUCAGCACAUGCCUGUUUUUCCUCAUGAAGAAUGUUUCACUAGGCAUUUGUGGAUUAGUUCAGAUGAUUAUAUGAUACUGAGGCUCUGAAAUUUAUCUCAUUUGGCUCAAAUUCAUGAAGCCAUUUUCAGUUAAUGUUUUUGAAAGAUUUGAUUGAACAAUGGUCAUAGGUACUCUAUCCUUUCAUUGUUAAUGUAAUAGUUGCAACCUAAGAAGCACGAGAGCAGACUUUUGCCAACAUGACCUAUUGCCAAAACUUUCAUGAGCUAGGGAGUUGGUCAUAAGUGCAAAUUGUUAAAAUAUUAUCAGAAUAAUACACUAUAGGAAUAAAUGAAUAAUUACCACGGAGAGGGAAGGUUGUAAGCAUCUUUAGCAUAAAUUCGAUUUUCAAUGGAAUGAAAAAGGUACAUACAUUUCAAACUUAAUCUCUUUCUUGGGAACCAAAUGUUCAUGUAAAGUUUUCAAUUCGCAAAUUUCAAGCUUUAGUUUCCACCUAUAAUCACCACACACUGUUGUUUGUUUCUUCUAAAACUUUCAGUUUGUAUUUUUUUUUUUUGGUCGAUACUGAACAAUUAAGAAUGAAAAUGGUGUAAAUUUUGAAAUUGGACAAUAAUUUUGAGACUAAGCAAGAAAAAAAUGAAAAAUGUUAAAUUUAUAUGCAAUGGAGGGAGAAGUUAAUCUACUUAGAAAAGAUAUAAAUUUAAGAAUUAUAUGUGGUAAUUAUAUCCAAGAAAAGCUAAGAAAACUAUGGAUUGAUUGGUUGUUUCAGAAGAACACAUGAGAAGUAGCAAACAAUUUAUUUUUUGAAGAGAAAAGGUAACACAGUUGUUGCAUUCGUGAGAGUGCGUAACCAGUAGCCAAACAGUAGUGGAGAUCAUCAAAGAUGUGCUAUACCUGUUUGACAUUCAAUUUUCUACCUUCUUUGGUAUCUCAAACAGAAGCUUGGGAGAAUAGGUCAGGCAAAGUUCAGGUGUAGAAGAUUGUGAGUAGAUCUGGAGAGAUCCUGAUCUUUAUGGGAGGAUAUGACAAUUGCCUGCUAUCAAGAAGGAUUUCACACUUAAUAUCUAUACAUUGAUGUGCUCUCAUUUAAUAAAUUUUCUUUUACAUCCUUUGAACUCGAGCAUUAUGUUACUGUCUUGUGCAUUCUGCUUUUCACAAUUACUAUAUCAUUUUAUUUGAAAUGUCACCGAGAGUAUCCCUCAACAUGUCCGUACGAUGCUCUUAGGAUGUCUAAAAUUAGCCCCAAAAGUAGAAAUAUUCAGGAAUAAUGUUCUAAAAUCUCAGUCGUGUGAGUUCGUUGAAAAGCAUUUCUGCAAUCAACAAGUAUCAGUGGUGACAGUUAGGUCCUUAGAGUAUUCACGUUUUCUGGAACGCAACAAUAUCUACCCUGAUCAUAAUGUCAUCAGAUUGUUUCAAACUCCUAUGUGGUAUGCAAAUUUAUUGAUGUAUUGAUGGUUAAUGAGAAAAUAAAGAGCCAAGUUUCAUGGCGGGGGUUAUGAAUUUUCGCUGUCGUCAUUUUUUGGAUUGGUCUGAUUAUUCAAUUUGUUCAUCAUAUGUUUUUAUCCAAUCAUACUAGAAUAGUUUUCUGCUUUUAACUGGGUUUAACUUCAUGGGAGUUGUGCGUCCCAUCCAGGUGGUGGCCAUAGCUGCUUCAGAGAUAGUGAUGAAGCUCGGAUAAGAUAUAGAAGGAAGAAAUUCUGGGAGAAAGCAGUCGAUAUAGGAGAGCUAUGUGGGCCAGGAGAAGCAUGGUGGGGUGUUAGAGGUCAAAUGCGGGAUGAUUUUAACCAUAGCAACAAGGCAAUAUCCUACUCGGAGCAUUUUCAGAACAGCAGGUUUUUAGAAUCAGUACUUGACGUUUAUUGGGAGCUACCCCCUGUGGCUGGUCCUUCCCUGACUCACCAGACGAGAUAUGAUCCAGCUCGUGCCCCUAGUCCUGUUGUCGAAGAUGGUAGAUAUGGCUUAUUUCGCAGGCUUGGUUUAUCAACACUCGAUACUUCUGUGUUCAAUGGAUACACUCAAAUGGUAUAUCUUCAGGUAUCUAAACCGGAAUCCUAAUCCCGUUGAACUUAGGCAAAUCUAGUUUUUAAGGUUGCCAGUGCAUGUAUUUUCGGACUUGUCUAUAUACGAUCUUCUCAUAGCUGUGUACCUGUGUUCAUUAGAAACAGUUUUUACUCAUUCUCCCUAUCUAAUUUGAGAGCACUUGUUAGUUAUCACAUAUUUUUCAGUACUUGGGGCGGUGAAUUUAUAUUGUGAGGGAUGAUUGAGCCAUACGGUACGAUAAUUAAAAAAUAAAAAUAAAUAAAAAUUGGUUUAAUUCUACCGAGAAUUGAACUUGCACUUGAGGCAUAUUUGG